CCCACUUCCGUCACGGACUUCCCUUAAAAACCACAUUAACGCGGCUUUUAUUAUUCUCAUUACUAUUACAGCCGUCAUCUUUCUUUUCACGCGCCGAGGUGGCGAUCCCCCCCAAUCUCUCGGCCGGUGAGUCUGCAUUUUCCCCGCACGCCGCUCCUUUUUAGGCAGCCGAAGGCAGCGAGCGCCCGGCCCGGCCCUCCCGCCCCGCCCGGGGGGUGCCCGGGGGGCUCGGAGCCGCCAUUACCGGGGACGCCGUGCGGGCAGCCCCCUCCUUCCCUCCCUCCCUCCCUCCCUCAGGACGGCUGCGUGCCGGGCUGAGCACGGAGCGAGGCAGCGGCCUCCAUGUUUGAUCCCGGCGGCCUGUCAACGGCUGGGCGCAGCGGGAGGGCCUCCCCAGGGCGCGGGCAGAGAGCCCCGGAGCGGCUCGUUCCCCCCUCCCGCCGCCUUUUAAAGCCGCGUCACCUCCCUCUCGCUCGGAGCCCGCAGCCCUGCGGCACGCCGCCGCCUCGCCCCCCGCCCCCCGUUUUCCUUUCCCCCUGGAGAGCCAGGGCUGCCCGGGCCUCGGCCCCGGCUCCCGUUGCGGGCCGGCCGCCGGGCGCUGCCCCCCGCCCCGAGCCGCACCUGUCACCGGCGGCACCGCCUCGGGGCAGCCGCGGAGCGCCCACGAGAUGCGGGGCCCCACGCGGCCGCCACCUGGGCGCCACGGGGCACCUGACAAAGCCGCUCCCCGGCCGCCGCCGCCCCGCUCCCCGCUCACCAGAUCGGAAGAACGCCGCGAUGUCCGCCGAGUCCUUGGCCGCCUCCUCGGCCCCUUCUCCCCCGCCGCUGCCGGCCGUGCUGGCCGCGGCGGUGGAGGCGGUGGUGGCGGCGCUGCUCAUGGCUGCGGCGUGCGGCGGCGCUUCCUCCGGCUGAGACCCGCCGCCGCCACCCCCGCCGCCCCGCUCCCCUGCGCGGCCGCCGCCGCCUUCACCUCGGCGCGGGCGCGGCUCUCAGGGCGGCAGCCGGAGCGGAGCGGGCGAGCGAUGCGCGGCGGGGGCGGCUGCCGCCGGCCGCAGGGACAUGAAGUUAUCUCUAGGAAACAUCAAAGUAUCUUCUAUCAUGGACGAGUCAAAUGAACACAAAGUAAGCAAACAGCCUGUGAUAGAAGGUGCGGUUGGGUGCCUGGUUAAAGCACGUCCUGGUACAGCAGUGGUUCUCAUGUGGCACUACCACAGUAGUUAUCUAAAGGAGAGGUUGGAGGAGGAGUGCUGAAGAAGGCUGUUGAGCACCUUCAGGAACUGAUAAAGCUGAAGAACACUUCUCAAAUGCUUGUAGUAAAUCAUAAGAAACGUUGCUACGUCCGGUUGAAAAUCACAUGGCUUCAAGAAUCAGAUUCCUGAGCCUUUGCUGAGUGUUAAAAGCAAAAGUGACUUCAAGAGAAAGUGGGGCUUUGUUAGUUUAUCGCAGACAGGUGAUGUGGAAGAUGUUUUUCCAAGGCAAUGGGCACAGGAAAGUGUUUCAAAUUAGCAUCCCGCUGGCAGAAGCGGUUGCAACGUGAAUUCCUUUCUAGCCGGCCUAGCAGCAGCCACCAAGCAGAAACCAACUGGAAUAAAUGCUUCUGCUCCUGAGCAAGCUGGAAGCAGACCUGGGAGCAGGAAUUAGAUGAUAUUCUACACCAGCACAGAAUAAACUGUGUGAGAAUGAGAGAAAAUGGGAUCGGUGAAUGAAAAGGGUUAAUAUAAUGAGUAAAGAAAAAAAAUGGAUAUCCUGGAAAUUCCAUAAUUCAAGCUCUUAGUUACUUCAGAGCAAGGUGGUACUCAGAAUUAUUUGUUUUCUGAAUUUAAAUUGACUUUUUAUGUGCAACAGUGGAAAUUAAUGGUUUCCGCUGUUGUUGUCGAUUGUCAUCUGAAGUCAGUUGUGCCAUUACUGGCUUUGCAAGACUGUUCUGUCCAUCAGCUAUUUGAAAAGGGGAUGCUGCCCUUUUUUCUUCUCCACCUUGUUGUUCAUCCAGCAAACUGCACAACUGAUUGCCAGUGGCUGCUGAAAAGCCAAGGUCUGUUUGAAAAAUUUUGAAGGUUGUGGGAGGACUGAAGUUUGUCCCUUCCACUAUCAUCUCUACCUGCUGAAAAGCAGAAGAUGCUUCUUUUGUUUACUACAUGGGUGCCCUGAGCCAUGCCUCCCUCUGGAAGAGCCUCUCAUCUAUACAAAACUGAGGGAAUCUGGAACAGUUCCCAGCUCCAAGGAUUUUGUUUUGUGCAUUGAUUGAUAUCAAGUGGUUGCAAUUUACAUUCUUUACCUGCACUAGAGGCCAUCCUCACAGAGAUGCCUUCAACAGCCAAAUGCAUUCAUAACCUUUGCAGUGUUCAAAAGGACUGUCGCAAUAGUUGUGUUCAUGCUUACAUUCAUGAUACAACAUUUACUGAAGAAUAAAUUAAAUUGAUAAAGAUAGGAAAAUGAUAUUCUGGUUGAGUUACUAAACACUUGUAAUUAAGUAUGGAUAUCAUGCACAAGGUAUUAAUAUUGUGACUUUAGGGAAUCAAGUUUCUUAGUCCAGUUUUUCUUGAUAAUCUUAGUCUUAAAACUUCCCAGGAAGGUGAGGGGAGAGUACAAAUUGUCUAUGUGGAGAACAAUGCAUAUGGAAAAGUUGUGUGAGUUUGCAUACAUUGGAAGCUUGGCAUUAGAGAAUAGCCUUGUUCUCCAUCCUCAGCUCCAGCUUUGCUUCUCUCAGUUUUUGUCAGUCUCCGAUUGCUUUUUGCACCAAUUACAGUGAUAAAGUCAGUAGAAGAAGAAUACUCUUAUUAAAUAAAAUAUUUUAAGGGUACUGUGACCUGCUAAACAUCAAUAUUGCUAAGACUGAGAGACUAUUUUUAAUAAAUUGCUUAACCAGGAUUUUUUAAAUCUAAAUAAAUUGAAAUACUCUUUAUUUUGUGAAUGUACACACAUAUAUAUAAAGGCAUUUGAUUUUAUGGAAGUAAAUUGUUCCAAAAGAUUUACACCUGAGAAAGAUAAAAGCUGUAAAAUGUGUACUGUUUCAUUUGUGUCCUUUGUUUUUCACGUGUGGUGCCUUGGGUUGAACAAUCAUUCUAAAACCAUUAUAUCAGUGCACAAAGAUCUUUAUUCUAGGCAAAGAUACCUCUUGUGAAGAAAGAAGUGUGCACAGUAUGCAGACUGAGAAGUACCACAUGUCACCUCAUGGUUCAUCUCUAAAGGAAUAUGCAAGCUGGAUAUUGCUCAAGUUCUUUUCCUUCACCAUUUGCUGUCCACUUAAUGAAGACAAAGAUUGCCUCGUUUUUGGAAGGCAAUAAAUAAAGAAGAGCAACAGCUGGAAUUUAAGUCACUGAUAUUUGCAAGGUUUCAGGAGAAGUAAACUAGGAACUCCUUCAUUUGGAUGAGCAUCAGACAGGAGAUAACACUGAUCUGUCUGCAUGGCCAGUCGGAGUUGUCUCAUUGCUCAGAAUCAAAAAAGCCUUCAAUUAUGGGAAGGAAAAAAGAGUCAACAGCCAAUUUUUUAGAAUAUAGUUCACUUGUCACAGUCAUUCACAAGUUUUACUACCCACUUUUAUUUGCAAACUAAAACGUAGGCUGUGACAGUGUGAGGAUGAGAGUUCCACAUGGGCAUUUUAAAGGAAAAUAUAUAUGAACUUCCCUUCAACUUAGCCAGCCUGUACGAACUGCUUCUUACUUAUAUUAUUUUUCUGUAGCAGGCUUUUGGCAGGUUCCAAACGAAUCUAUAACGCAGAAGUGCUUGUGAAAAGUUGUAGAGAAUGCCCUACCAGUUGCUACUGUGCUUUUGGGAUGACAAGGCUUCUUUCAAGUUUGUAGCAGUUAAGGAAAGCAACCGAAGUUAUUAAUGUGUAGCACCUCCAAGUUGCUAUCUGGAUUCUUAUCUACAUUGCGCUUGUGUUAUAGAAACAUUUGUCAACUUCAAAUUUUUCUCCAAGCACAAGAUGCAUCUCUGUUAUCUGCAGAGUUGCACUGAGCCAUUUUCUAAGAGUUAUGAUUAUUAUCUCCACAUUCUCUGCAGUAGCUUCUAUCUCUUUUUGAAAGUGCACUGCAGUUGUCUUGAGCGCUGUUAAGUCUGUGUGGUCCCCUUAUGGUAUGUUUGCAAGGGUGGAUAGUGAUAGGACAAGGGGGAAUGGUUUUAAACUGAGACAGGGGAGGUUUAGCUUAGACAUUAGGAGGAAGUUUUUCACACAGAGGGUGGUGACGCACUGAAACAGGUUGCCCAAGGAGGUUGUGGGUGCCCCAUCCCUGGAGGCAUUCAAGGCCAGGCUGGAUGUGGCUCUGGGCAGCCUGGUCUGGUGGUUGGUGACCCUGCACAAAGCAGGGGGGUUGAAACUGGAUGAUCAUUGUGGUCC
This 4337-nucleotide long non-coding RNA is filed under the name Gallus gallus (chicken). Lineage: Eukaryota; Metazoa; Chordata; Aves; Galliformes; Phasianidae. The record is from RNAcentral.